UACAGAGGGGGCAAGCGUUGUUCGGAAUUACUGGGCGUAAAGGGCGCGUAGGCGGCCGCCUAAGUCAGACGUGAAAUCCCUCGGCUCAACCGGGGAACUGCGUCUGAUACUGGGUGGCUUGAAUUCGGGAGAGGGAUGCGGAAUUCCAGGUGUAGCGGUGAAAUGCGUAGAUAUCUGGAGGAACACCGGUGGCGAAGGCGGCGUUCUGGACUGUAACUGACACUGAGGAACGAAAGCCAGGGGAGCAAACGGG
This 253-nucleotide ribosomal RNA is filed under the name uncultured bacterium. RNAcentral's name for it is "partial 16S ribosomal RNA". It matches the Rfam family "Bacterial small subunit ribosomal RNA", at positions 524 to 776 of the family's 1533-position model. The record is from RNAcentral.